Cervus hanglu yarkandensis (Yarkand deer) is the source of this 115-nucleotide small nuclear RNA. The record is from Ensembl. NCBI's taxonomy places the organism in Eukaryota, Metazoa, Chordata, Mammalia, Artiodactyla, Cervidae.
AUACAUCUGUGUCUCUUUUUCUGUCUAGCAUAUUGGAACGAUACAGAGAAGAUUAGCAUGGCCCCUGUGCCACUCUGUAUCUUUUGAAGAAAAAAAGAAAACUUAAAAAAUCUUU